This is a long non-coding RNA of Micropterus dolomieu (smallmouth bass), 4305 nucleotides long. RefSeq lists it as uncharacterized. The record is from RefSeq and is a predicted model, not a curated record. The transcript is spliced from 3 exons. Lineage: Eukaryota; Metazoa; Chordata; Actinopteri; Centrarchiformes; Centrarchidae.
UCCGCCAUAUUGUUCAUUUGUUUAGCAUUAUUUUAAAUAACUAAGCUACUCUUUGUUUAAUCUGAGUUGCAUCCUCCUUUAAUGUUGUGGUCUGGGAGCCGGGGUUGUAAUAAUUAUUGGGGGUUUUUUUCUGUCGUGGACUGCAGAUGUUCACGGAGACAUGAGAAGGGGGAGGUGGCAAUUGGCGUGCAUCCAGUUCUGCCAGUGGUUGGUGUUACCAUGAUUUUGGGUAAUGAGAUAGCAGGUAGCUGGGUGUGGACCAAUGUUGCUCCAGUUCACCUCGUCAGCACUGGGCCUGAUGACAGUGAAACUGAGUUUCCAGAGGCGUUCAUGGCUUGCGCUGUGACAUGCACAAUGAAAUGAGUUGGUGGCAGAGCAGCAGGCUGACUGUUCUCUAAGGGUCUGCUGGAAAUGGCUAGUCCUUAUGGUGAGGUGAAAAGCCACAGCGUUUCUCCAGAAUGAUGUAUUGAUGAGAAAGUGGGUGCCUCAAGGAGAGCAUUUUGUUGAACCAAUUUACCAAGUUGUCGUGCCUUCCAGGUUUCCUAGUACAGUGUUGCAGAUUUCCCACAAUGAGUCUGGCCAUUUAGGUGUCAAAGAUGUAUGACUGCAUCCUGAGGUAUUUCUUUUGGCCCAGACUAAAGAGGGAAGUUCCUGCUUACAUAGUCAUGUCAUACAUGCCAGUUAACCAGCAAACCCAAUCAGAGUUUAAAACCCUUUCUGCUUUGUCCAAUACAAACUAUAGGUCAGCCUUUUGAACAUCUGAUCAUUGAUUGUGUGGGCCCAUUGCUGCCAUCUAAAGGGGGUGCAAGUUAACAGUGAUGCGCCAGAGCACAAGGUACCAGCUGCGUUUCCUUUACACACAAUUGCAGCCAGGUCUGUGGUACAUGUGUUAUCAGUUUAUUUCCAUCUUUGGUGUCCCCAGGGUCAUUCAGUCUGAUCAGGGCUCCAAUCUUUCGUCACACUUUUUGAAGCAGCUGCGCAUUCAGCACAAUCAGGCAUCUGCUUACCACACCCAGAGCCAAGGUGCAUUAGAGCAUUUUCAUCAAACUCUUAAGUCCAUGUUGUGUGCAUUUUGUAUACAGAUGAACAGACUGGGAAGAGGGUCUGCCAUGGUUACUAUUGGCUGCCAGAGAGAGGUGGUCCAGGAGAGUUACAGGGUUUAGCCCUAAUCUUGUGUUGGCCAUAACGUACAGGGUCCUCUAGCACUACUGCAGGAUAAAUGGAAAGAGGUCCAGCUGCCACAAAACCUUGACUAUGUAAAUGGCUUUUGGUAUAGGCUUUAUAAAGCCCAGGAAGUGGCUAAAAACAAUUUGGCAUCUGCACCGGACAAAAUGAGAACUUUAUGACAGCGGAGUUGAGGAUCGUGUCUUUUUGCCUGGAGAUCAGGUGCUUGCUUUGUUGCCCAUUGUUACUUCUCCAUUUCAGGUAAAGUUUUCAGGGCCAUACUCAGUGGUGGAAAAGGGGUCAGACCAGAAUUAUGUGAUUGAUACUCAGCUCUGUCAUGUUAACUUGCUAAAACCAUACUAUUCUCAUAUAGAGCAGUCAGUUGAAGCACAGCCUUCUGAUGUGCGUCCAGCUCACUUGUCUGUCUGUCAAAUCACCUUGUGGUAGGUCAAGGGGAGGAGGAUUUGUUAGGCCCAGAUGAAGUGGUGCUACAUGGUCAGCUUAAGAACUCCGUCUAUGCGGAGUCUGGAUGGCUUGUUAAGUCAUUUAGGAGUCUCAGCAUAGCCAGUUAGCUGACCUGAUCAGCAAUAUCAUGUCUUUUUGGUGAUACCCCUACCUGCACACAUUUGGUUGAGCAUGAUAGAAAUGUUAGUUUGUAAACCAAUUAAGCAGAGGUUUUAUCAUGUUCCUGCAGUCCUACAGCUUGGACAUUCGUUAUACUAAGGGGCAGGACAAUGUAGUGGCAGAUGCAUUGUCUCGGGCCAUUGAUUGACAUGAGUGUGUAUUGUGUUCAGUUGCUCUCCUUUGUCCCAUCCUCGGUCUUCUCGUCUUAAAUUCAGCUUCCAGGAACCAGUUGCUGGGGACGGAGGGGAGGAAUAGGAGGGUUUGCAGGGGCCGUAAGUGGAGAGGUGGUUUUAUAUAUUUUUGUUAAUGUAUUUACUUGCUGGCAGUAAACCAGGGUCCCCUUUGGUGUUGGGCCUCUGUACUGUGUGCUGUCUGUGUUUCUCUGCAGGCAAUCAAGAAGAUUGGGAGCACCUGGCCAGGGAGUCUAACCCAUUUUUAGGCCUGCCCGCCCAGAUGCCAGUUUCAGGUGCUUGCGCCUUCCAUACUGCUAUGCCACGUUCUUUAGUCUUGCAUCAUUUUAAAUAAAUUUGUUACUCUUUGUUUAACCUGAGUCGCAGCCUGAGAGCCGGGUCGUAACAGGAGUGAGGUGCAUAAUUAGUUGCUCAGUUGUAUUUUCUUCCCAGUGAUCUGGUGGUAAGUCUUCUUUGGAUGGGAAAUUAAAUCCAGGUAAAGACUUCUUUAAACCCAUAUGCUCCUUUUUUAGAAAAGUAAUUAAAGGUAAAACAGCUAACCGCCUUAUUUUAAUCGACAUGAGAAACCCUUAUUCUGGGGGAAACCUACACCUAUAAAGCUAUACAUACUAAAUGUACAGUAGUGCUCUGCAUAAUGUUAUGUAGAGCAAGCUAUGCUGUUUUAGCUGACAACUAGCCUAAAUGUAAUCACUCUUUUCGUCAGCAAUGCUGUCCUGCUGUAAAUGCUUACAGGACAGUUGAGCAAUAUAAUUCACAGCAUAUUAGGACUGAGAGAUAUCUAUCUAUCGCAAAUAAAUGACCAAUUACCAAAGUAUGAUCAAAUUUGCAAGCAGUAUGUAGCAUGUAUUUGUUAAGAACACAGUGGCCUGCAUGUGUUUUGUGAAACCAGUAUCUUUUUUAUUUUUUUUUCCACAAUUACCAAUUGAAGAGAUCAAGGCUUUUUUUUUAAGACUUCUAAUAAUAGUGCGGUAUGUAAUCUGUCUGACUAAAUUUGUGGGGUUUUUAGUCAGUCCUGCGAACAGAAUUUUGUCAGGGAGGAGUCUGCAUAGCUGCAUCAGUCAUUUGGGGUCAUCCGAUAAUAUAUUUUCAGCAGUAUUCUCAAAUAGAUUGAAUAGACUUUUAGUGUUAAGCGUGUGCUGAAGCUCUGGAGUCAAACCUAUGACUCAACAGUUCCCUCACAGGGCACUGUGGCCAAAAUAUACAGGCUAUGACACCAUCUCUUUAUUUCAUCAUUAGUGGUAAAAAUGACAUCAGAAGUCAAUGGUUGCCUGAACAAAAGGAAAUGGAGUGGGCUAUAAACACUGAGUGUCCACAGCAUCAUCGCUGAGAUGUGGUACACACAGAUUGCAUUGCGAUACUCGUAUGUCUCAUGCAGAAAAGUCAAUAGAAAACUUAAACCGGCCAAUAUGCAACUUUUUACAGUAAUAUGGCCAAUGAGCCACAGUUGAAUGUUUACAUUUUUCUAAAUUAUAUAUUCUGCAUUUACACCCCUAAUGGAAGUAGUAUAACUAAAAUUAAAGAAAAUGGAAGUUAUUUUGGCUCAUUACAAAAGUGCUGUUGUAACUAACAAGUAGUCAGUGAGAAAUAUAAAUCAGAAAUUUUGAUGCAUCAAUAACUGCAUCAUAGCCUUCUGUAUCAAAUCAUGAGGUGCCUAGAGAUUCACACCACUAAUGUUUAAAGAGGUCAUAAUGCUUUUUGGCUUUCCUUUACUGUGUUAUCUUUUUGUGCAUGUAAUAGGUUUGCAAAGUGAAACAGCCCAAAGUCCACCCUAAAGGGUGUUACUCACAGAAAACACUGCUCCCGAACUGCCUGAAAACAGCUUGAUUGUAGUCCAGCCUUUACUUCCGUAACCUAUCUUCAUCACUAUAAUGUAUCAUAAUGCUUGCCUAGUAGCUAGUGUGGCAUGCCCUCAACACUGCCAGAGAAACACACUGAUCUGCAGCACACAUCCGCCCGCUGCCUCCCCUUACCCCAACUUCCAAGUUGGGGUGAGGAUGUGAUGUAGAGAGUGCACAUUUAAAACAUUGCGUAUAAAAGAGAUGUUACAAAUUAAUAACUUUCUCCAAUGUCUUGCUCCCGUUUAGGUAGCGUAGCUGGUUUGGGAACAUGUACAGUUGAACCAAAGCUGUGCUUACCAGUUUUGUUUUGGAUCACACCAUCUUGCUUGUCAGGACCUAUAUACAAUUUAUGGUCAGGACCCGCCUUACACUCCUUCUGAUUGGCUAGUAGUCCUUACCAAGGUACCUCACAUGGUGAACUCUCAACAAAGAUUGAAUAGACAUGAGAUGCCUCACUCCUUAGAUAAAAUGGAGCGUUCAAUACACAG